AGGUGAAGAAUCGGAAGAUGAUUCGCUGAGUAGAAAAUACUUGCUGAUUGUACUGCCCGUAUUAGUUAUUGCGAUGUUUGUCAUCUUUGUUUUCCUAUUAAGAAAAACAAAGCAAGUUCAAUCAAGGCCUAGCAUGACGCUCUCGAUGCAAGGACAGUUCCCGACGAAAAGAGGAUCUGUUCCCUACAAGG
Long non-coding RNA from Physella acuta, 191 nucleotides. RefSeq lists it as uncharacterized. The record is from RefSeq and is a predicted model, not a curated record. Lineage: Eukaryota; Metazoa; Mollusca; Gastropoda; Physidae.